CCUANGGGGGGCUGCAGUCGAGAAUCUUUCGCAAUGGGCGCAAGCCUGACGAAGCGACGCUGUGUGAAUGAUGAAGGCCUUAGGGUUGUAAAGUUCUUUCGCGCAAGAACAAGAGAGGAGAACGAAUAAUUCUCUGAUUUGAGGGUACUGCGUAAAGAAGCACCGGCUAACUCCGUGCCAGCAGCUGCGGUAAUACGGAGGGUGCAAGCAUUAAUCGGAUUUAUUGGGCGUAAAGGGCGCGUAGGCGGGCCUACAAGUCAGAUGUGAAAUUCCGGGGCUCAACCCCGGAGCUGCAUUUGAAACUGUAGGUCUAUAGAGGGAUGACGGAGAAAAUGGAAUUCCACGUGUAGCGGUGAAAUGCGUAGAUAUGUGGAAGAACACCAGUGGCGAAAGCGGUUUUCUAGUUAUUACCUGACGCUGAGGCGCGAGAGCAAGGGGAGCAAACAGGAUUAGAUACCCUUNUANUC
Molecule: ribosomal RNA, 467 nt
Filed under: uncultured bacterium
Lineage: Bacteria
Description: bacterial SSU rRNA
Rfam family: Bacterial small subunit ribosomal RNA
Source: RNAcentral